UGUAAUAUACCUUUGGACUUAGGAGAAUUCAUUAAGCCAUAAAAUGGCUUGUUACUUGAAUAUCAUGUGAAUUAGUGAGCUAAUGUCAUAAAGCGACAUUGAACUUGGGUCAUAUUGAACCUAGUGGAUAAUGCCAUAAAGAGGCAUGGGAAUUGGAAUAUGCUUAGAUAGAGCAAUGUUAUAGUGUCAUAAAGAGACACUAGGCUUAGUGAAUGUUGGAACUUCACCUUGUGAUAUAGAACUAGACCGAUGGGUUACUAGUGAUGGUUACCAUGUUAGAGACAUGAUGAUUGGGUACUUGAGACGAUAACUAUGCUUGCUUGGCAUUUGUGCUUAUUCGCACUUGCUUGUGAGGGUUGCUCCCUACAAGCCGGCACUCCGGAGUUGGCCUAUGCGACUUAUGUUCGCUCGUGUGGUAUCGAGAAAUCUACGGGGUAGGGAGGGAUAGACUCAUUCCUAGAGUGGGAAUGUUGGAGCUACUACCGGCACUUAGGUGGCACAAGCUGGACUACACUUGUGUAGGUCCUAAAACAAGAUUGAUUAUUGACAUUAAACCGGGAUAUGACAAUCACUACUAGAUAGGCUUAGUAGUUGGAUGACUUGGAUAUGCUUUUAGCAUACUAUUGGACAUUUGGGCGGAUAGAAUACCGGAUAGUAUUACUUGUUGCAUCUUAGCAUACUUGCUUGACAUGUUGGGAUAGACUAGUCAUGCUUUUGACAUACAUGUUCAUAAGAGAAUAAAUGUACAACUUAUUGUUAUCAUAUUAAUUGUGGCUUAGUAGUUUAGCAUUUAUACAUGCUUUCAUAUCUGCAGUUUAUUUUCGUUGCUUUACAUAUCUAUCUUAGUCUUUUGGGCCUUGUGGCGCAAUGUGCUGAGGUCAGUAAUUGCCCACUAGGAACUAUAAAUUAUAGUUCUCAUGCCCCCUGUUUUUUAUUUCCUUUCAGAGCCUUCCACACCGGACGAGGCUAGGGACCGCGGAAAGGGCAUCGCCUCGAGCUAGCUCUUUGGCGAGGGUCGUAUCGAUAGGUGGUCUACCUCUCAUUGGUUUUAUUUUGGAGAGGUUGAGAGUUGUACCUAUGUAUAGAGAUCACCCAUUUUGUAUUUUGAGAUAAUUGUUAUAUCUACUUUAUGCUUUAUUUUUAGUGGAUCAGUUUUCUUUUUCUAUACUUGUUGUUUUUUUUUAGCUGCUAGUUGCUCUGAUAUCUAUAGUGGUCCUACUUUUCCUUACUUUCGUAUCUCUAUUAUUGUAGACGCCUUAUUUGUGCAGGCAUAUGGCGGGUCUGGGCACGCACCCGCCGAGCCUACGUCGUGUCCCGGGGCGUGACAGAUUAAUUUGGUAUCAGAGCCUAGGGUUCAGUCUUAGUGGACCUAGCAAAGCUUAGGCCGGUUGGACUAUAGGAAAUAGCCUCGUGAGAGAUGAGGUUUAUUUGAUCUGUAAGCGUAAGUAUUAUGAUUGGGUUUUAUGAUAACUCUAAAAAGUUAGAGUUUAAUCGGAGUGUAUUGCUUCUAACUUCGUGGACGGUUACGUUGGCGGCCAACAACGUAACAUCGGGAGUUAGUAGUGAAGAACACUUUCUUACUUUCGCAUGAUUUGGGUACUUACUUUUGAGUGAGGUUGCGAUAGCGUGUGUUUUACUAACUUGCACUUUUAUAAUGUUGUAGUGAUAAUGCCGAUUACACGCUCCAAAUCGGUUGGAGCGGACAAUGCGGCUAAUCUUAAGGAGGUGGAGACCUUCGUUACCUCCGGAUCCGGCGAGAUCCGUGAGUUGAGGAGCCAGCUUGCGGCCCUCACUGACUUGGUCGCGCAGCAGGCGGCGGCGGCUCAGCAGCAGGCGGAUGCGGCGCACCGGCAGGAGGCACCGAUGAAGUGUCUGGAGGAUCUUUUGCUGCAGCAGACGGCAGCCAGGGAAGCUGAAGUCCCUGCACCACCUGCGCCGGUAGAGGUGGUUGCGCCCAGGGUGUCGUCCCCUGCACUCGACACUUCUAGGACGGCCCCUGUGGUGGCACCUCGGGAGGAGGACGUUAUGGCGCCACCAGCACAGGUGCCUUUGGCGGGGAUAGUUUUUCCCGUGAUGGUUGAGGGAACUGAGCGGGAUCAACUCAUGGAUCGCCUCAACGAGUUCAGGAGGUGCAACCCGCGAAUUUUUGACGAAGAGAAGGUGGACCACUGGAUAGUGGAGAAAUGGCUCAUGCAUAUGGAGAAGUUAUUCCACGACACCUUCUUGGAGGAGAGGGAGAGAGUUUGGUUCACCACACAUCAUCUUGACGGCGAGGCCUACCGUUGGUGGCUGGAUAUUCGGGACAACCCGAACACGGAUUUGUCGGCAAUCUCGUGGAAGAGAUUUAAGGAGCUUCUGAUGGCCAAGUAUUUUCCAGAGAGCGUCAAGAGAAAGAUGGAGCAAGACUUGCGCAGCUUGCUCCAGGAGGAGCGGACGGUGGCCGAGUACGAGAGGGAGUUCUCUCGGCUUUUGCACUGCGUGCCUUUUGUCGUGUGGGACGACGAGGACAAGGCCCGCAUUUUCGAGCGUAGAUUGCGGCCCUCGAUUUUCCGGUUGGUGUAGUCCUCCAACCUUCAGACUUAUCGAGAUGUGGUGAACCACGCGCUCAUCAUAGAGAGCGGCGCAGUGGAGUUGCAGGAGGGCCGAGAGAGCAUGGACAAGGGGAAGGGCAAGAGACCCGCGGCUGAGGGUGCGAGUGAGACGCACUCACGGAGGCCGCUGAGGCACCCCAAAAGCCGGAGCCAGUAGCGAGGACGUGGCUCGUCUACUCAGCGAGGAGGACCUGAUCAUCGCCAGGCUCCGCGCUGCGUGAUCUGCGGUGGUCCUCAUUUCCCACGGCAGUGUUCAUGCAGUCGGGGCAGGUGCUACUUGUGUGACUAGGAAGGCCACUUCGAGUCGGAUUGCCCGAGGGGCCCAGCGCCAGCGCCAUCAUCGGCAUCAGCACCAGCUUCAUCGGGUCCCAGCCAGGGGACACCUUUUGCUCACUACCAGGCCGGACGGCCACCAGUUCAGAGGCAGACGGAGGGGUCACGACAGGCCCCGAGCGGGCGCAUGUACGCGGCCCAGACUGAGGAGGCGGCAGCUGCCGAGAAUGUGGUUGCAGGUAUAAUUUCAUUAAAUGGCAUUCGAGUUCGUGCAUUGUUUGAUACCGGUGCAUCGCAUUCAUUCAUUGAUCGGCUAUUUGUCGAGUUGCAUGGCAUCCCCUUUGUUUUCUUGUUGCAUCCGAGACGUGUCGUCGUCCCCGACCACUCCUUGGACAUUAGAGAGUUUUGCCCCAGUUACCCGAUUCGGAUAGGAGAUUGGAUCAUACCCGUGGAUUUGCUAGUUUUGCAUAAACUCGAAGAGUUUGAUGUAGUUUUGGGUAUGGAUUGGUUGACCAAGUACUUCGCCACUAUCGAUUGCAAGAAUCGAACGGUGACUUUUAGAGAGCCAGAGCAGGUGGAGAUUGUAUACCGUGGAUGCCAGAGUUCGCUAUUUGCGAUAACGAUUAGCUCCUCUCGAGCUAGACAGUUGAUUAGCAGAGGCUGCGUAGCCUAUUUGGCUACUGUGGUGUUGAGGGGUGAUGCCGACACUCCUAGGAUUGAGGAUAUCCCCGUAGCGCGGGAGUUUGGAGAUGUGUUCCCAGCGGAGCUUCCGGGAAUGUCACCUGAUAGGGAGAUUGAGUUUGUGGUAGAUCUCGUCCCCGGGACUACUACACUCUCAAAAGCGCCCUAUAGGAUGGCACCAGCGGAACUGAGAGAGCUGAAGGCUCAGUUGUAAGAUCUUCUGGACAAGGGUUUUGUGCGACCGAGUGUGUCACCUUGGGGAGCACCGGUCCUAUUUGUCAAGAAGAAGAACGGAUUACUUUGCUUGUGCGUGGACUAUCGUGAACUUAAUAAAGUCACGAUUAAGAAUAAGUAUCCGUUGCCGAGGAUCGAUGAUCUAUUUGAUCAGCUUCAGAGAUCUAGUGUGUACUCCAAGAUCGACUUGCAGUCGAGAUACCACCAGUUGAAAAUCAAGUCUGAGGAUGUGUCGAAGACGGCUUUUAGAACACGGUAUGGACAUUACGAGUUUACUGUUAUGCCGUUUGGGCUUACUAAUGCCCCGGCAGCUUUUAUGGAUCUAAUGAACCGUGUUUUCAAGCCUUAUCUAGACAGGUUCGUCGUGGUGUUCAUCGACGACAUCUUGGUCUAUUCCCGGAGCGAUGCGGAUCACGAGAAACAUUUGAAGCUAGUACUUCAAGUACUCCAGAAAAAGAAGCUCUAUGUCAAAUUGAAAAGGUGUGAGUUUUGGCUUAGAGAGGUGGUGUUUUUGGGCCACUUGAUUUUUGUAUCGGGUAUAGCUGUGGAUCCGAGGAAAAUUGAAGUUAUCAAGGAUUGGCCGAGGCCGACGAGUGUCACCGAGAUACGGAGUUUUAUUAGUUUGGGCGGCUAUUACCUACGGUUUGUUGAGGGAUUUGCAAGUUAUCUACUCCCCUCACGAGGCUCACGCAUAAAGGCGUUAAGUUUAUCUGGAAUAAUGCAUGCGAAAGAAGCUUUCAAGAGCUGAAGCAGAGAUUGACGACUGCCCCGAUCCUAACCUUGCCAAUUGCUGGAGCAGGGUAUGUGAUUUAUAGUGGUUCUUCCUUUAAUGGAUUGGGCUGUGUCUUGAUGGAGGACGAAAAAGUGAUCGCGUUUGCUUCUCGCCAGUUAAAGGAGUAUGAAAGGAAUUACCCUACUCACGACUUGGAGUUGGCGGCCGUAGUCUUUGCAUUAAGGCUAUGGCGCCAUUAUCUUUAUGGCGAGCGGUGUGAAGUAUAUACGGAUCACAAAAGUUUAAAGUAUUUAUUCACUCAGAAGGAGUUGAACUUGAGGCAGCGCAGAUGGUUGGAGCUACUCAAGGAUUAUGAUUUGACGAUUCUUUACCACCCGGGCAAGGCUAACGUGGUGGCGGAUGCGCUAAGUCAGAAAUCGAUGGAAAACUUAGCGAUGCUUGUUUUUACUCAACCGUCCUUGAUCGAGCAGAUGAAAUGGUUGGGAUUGGAGGUGGUGGCUCCUGAUACACCUUUGAGGUUGAUGGCUUUGGUGGUACAACCUACCUUUUUGGAUAGAAUCAAAGAAAAGUAAGCUCACGAUGUGGAGUUACAAAGGCUUAGAGCUAAGAUGGUUGAUAGUUUCACCGGCGACUUCACUUUGGACGGUGUUGGAUUGAUGCGUUUCCGCCGGUGGUUGUGCGUACCGGCGGAUUUGGGUAUUAAAGAGGACAUUCUUCAAGAAGCACACCGUGCACCUUAUGCGAUUCAUCCGGGAGGCACCAAGAUGUACAAGGACUUGAAGUUGCUAUAUUGGUGGCCCGAAAUGAAAAAGGACGUUGGUGAGUUUGUUGCUAGAUGUCUAACUUGCCAACAGGUGAAAGCUGAGCAUCGAGUCCCCGCGGGAAAAUUGAAGAGCUUACCUAUUCUAGUGUGGAAGUGGAAGAAGAUCACUAUGGAUUUCGUGAUGGGAUUGCCUCGCUCACAGGCCGGGUAUGAUGCUAUUUGGGUGAUCGUGGAUAGGUUGACGAAAUCGGCUCAUUUUAUACCUAUUCACACUACUUGAACUGGUGAGAGACUCGUACAGGUAUAUCUUGAUGAGAUUGUGCGAUUGCACGGGGUACCUACUUCUAUAGCUUUGGAUCGAGAUCCCCGUUUUGUAUCUCAUUUGUGGAGGAGUUUGCAGGAUGCCUUGGGCACGCGCUUGGAUUUCAGUACAGCUUUCCACCCUCAGAGUGACGGGCAGUCUGAGCGCACUAUACAAACUCUUGAGGAUAUGCUUCGAGCCUGUGUGAUCGACUUCCAGGGAGGAUGGUCGCAGCAUCUAUGUAACAUACCGAACUUAUAAAAUUAUGAAGUUACGGUGUACGUUUAAAUGGUUCCGGUGAGGUUGCGGUGGAAUGUAACAUACCGGGUUUUAAAUAUAAAAAUGAAAAUAAAUAAAAAUAGUAUGAGAUACUGUUUUUAUUGGAUUUAGAGAAGUGAAAUAUAGGUUGGGAAUGACCUGUGCUGAAAUCGGAGCGAAAACAGGAGAUUUAGAAUUUUCUGUUGGAAUUGGGACAGAUAAAUUAGCAGAAAAUGCACAGUCUCAGAAAAUUAUGAAAAUUGGCGGGGAUGUCAGAAUUAUUUUUAUGAGACUAGAUUUAA
This 6136-nucleotide long non-coding RNA is filed under the name Ananas comosus (pineapple). Its description in RNAcentral is "long non-coding RNA (ACOM_LNC039045)". Lineage: Eukaryota; Viridiplantae; Streptophyta; Magnoliopsida; Poales; Bromeliaceae. The record is from RNAcentral.